This 761-nucleotide ribosomal RNA is filed under the name uncultured bacterium. RNAcentral's name for it is "bacterial SSU rRNA". It matches the Rfam family "Bacterial small subunit ribosomal RNA", at positions 28 to 776 of the family's 1533-position model. The record is from RNAcentral.
GAUGAACGCUAGCUACAGGCUUAACACAUGCAAGUCGCGGGGUAACAUCUGGUAGAGCUUGCUCUUCCAGGAUGACGACCGGCGCACGGGUGAGUAACGCGUAUCCAACCUGGCCCAUACCACGGGAUAGCCCGUCGAAAGGCGGAUUAAUACCGUAUGCUGUCAUUAAGAUGCAUAUAUUGAUGACGAAAGGACUGGCGGUAUGGGAUGGGGAUGCGUCUGAUUAGCUUGUUGGCGGGGUAACGGCCCACCAAGGCGACGAUCAGUAGGGGUUCUGAGAGGAAGGUCCCCCACAUUGGAACUGAGACACGGUCCAAACUCCUACGGGAGGCAGCAGUGAGGAAUAUUGGUCAAUGGGCGCAAGCCUGAACCAGCCAAGUAGCGUGAGGGAUGACUGCCCUACGGGUUGUAAACCUCUUUUGUUUGGGAAUAAAGUGCGGGACGCGUCCCGCAUUGCAUGUACCAUUUGAAUAAGGACCGGCUAAUUCCGUGCCAGCAGCCGCGGUAAUACGGAAGGUCCGGGCGUUAUCCGGAUUUAUUGGGUUUAAAGGGAGCGCAGGCCGUGGGUUAAGCGUGUCGUGAAAUUCCGUCGCUCAACGGCGGACGUGCGGCGCGAACUGGUCCACUUGAGUACGCGGGACGUUGGCGGAAUUCGUGGUGUAGCGGUGAAAUGCUUAGAUAUCACGAAGAACUCCGAUUGCGAAGGCAGCAUACGGCAGCGCUACUGACGCUGAAGCUCGAAAGCGUGGGUAUCGAACAGG